GGGGGAUACUGCACAAUGGAGGAAACUCUGAUGCAGCAACGCCGCGUGAGGGAAGAAGGUUUUCGGAUUGUAAACCUCUGUCCUCAGGGACGAUAAUGACGGUACCUGAGGAGGAAGCUCCGGCUAACUACGUGCCAGCAGCCGCGGUAAUACGUAGGGAGCAAGCGUUGUCCGGAUUUACUGGGUGUAAAGGGUGCGUAGGCGGCACUGCAAGUCAGGUGUGAAAACUAUGGGCUUAACUCAUAGAUUGCACUUGAAACUGUGGUGCUUGAGUGAAGUAGAGGCAGGCGGAAUUCCCGGUGUAGCGGUGAAAUGCGUAGAGAUCGGGAGGAACACCAGUGGCGAAGGCGGCCUGCUGGGCUUUAACUGACGCUGAGGCACGAAAGCAUGGGUAGCAAAC
This 400-nucleotide ribosomal RNA is filed under the name uncultured bacterium. RNAcentral describes it as "bacterial SSU rRNA". It matches the Rfam family "Bacterial small subunit ribosomal RNA", at positions 356 to 773 of the family's 1533-position model. The record is from RNAcentral.